CAGCCGUAAACUAUGCUCGCUAGGUGUCAGGCAUGGCGCGACCGUGUCUGGUGCCGCAGGGAAGCCGUGAAGCGAGCCACCUGGGAAGUACGGCCGCAAGGCUGAACUUAAAGGAAUUGGCGGGGGGAGCACAACAACGGGUGGAGCCUGCGGUUUAAUUGGACUCAACGCCGGACAACUCACCGGGGGACGACAGCAAUAUGUAGGCCAGGCUGAAGACCUUGCCUGAAUCGCUGAGAGGUGGUGCAUGGCGUAGACGUCU
This 262-nucleotide ribosomal RNA is filed under the name uncultured archaeon. RNAcentral's name for it is "partial 16S ribosomal RNA". It matches the Rfam family "Archaeal small subunit ribosomal RNA", at positions 748 to 1009 of the family's 1478-position model. The record is from RNAcentral.